CACUUUUGUUGUUGCAGAGACGGGUUUUGCUGUGACCGCCAUCUCCCGAACGCCCGGCGUCACCUACUACGACUCGUUUGACCUCCAGUGUAUCCUGAAGCCGCAUUACCCACCCUGGGUGGGCAUCUCGGUGACCUGGCGAUUCCAGCCCGUGGGAGGCGGGGAGACCCAUGACCUGGUGACCUUCAGCCACUCUGGGGGAGUCCAGUGGGGGGAUAAAGCUGGGAAUUUUCGAGGCCGCAGCAUCGUGGAGAAGACGGAUUCCAGUCACAAUGUGCGUCUGAGCAUCAGCCGGGCGAGUGAGUCCGAGGCCGGCAAGUACCAGUGUGUGGCCGAGCUGUGGAGGAGAGAGUACAACGCUAGCUGGACCCGCUUGGCUGAAAGAGCGUCCAACCUGCUGGAAAUUAGAGUCCAGCGACCAGUGUCUCCCUGCGGAUCAGGAAGGAGGAG
This is a long non-coding RNA of Nanorana parkeri, 450 nucleotides long. RefSeq lists it as uncharacterized. The transcript has 3 exons. NCBI's taxonomy places the organism in Eukaryota, Metazoa, Chordata, Amphibia, Anura, Dicroglossidae. The record is from RefSeq and is a predicted model, not a curated record.